This 1874-nucleotide ribosomal RNA is filed under the name Notomicrus tenellus. RNAcentral's name for it is "SSU rRNA". It matches the Rfam family "Eukaryotic small subunit ribosomal RNA". Lineage: Eukaryota; Metazoa; Arthropoda; Insecta; Coleoptera; Noteridae. The record is from RNAcentral.
CAAAUUAAGGUGAAACCGCGAAAGGCUCAUUAAAUCAGUUAUGGUUCCUUAGAUCGUACCCACAUUUACUUGGAUAACUGUGGUAAUUCUAGAGCUAAUACAUGCAAAUAGAGCUCCGACCGGAGACGGAAGGAGUGCUUUUAUUAGAUCAAAACCAAUCGGCGGCGGAUCGCGCAAGCGGUUCGUUCGUCGCUAACACUGGUGAAUCUGAAUAACUUUUGCUGAUCGCACGGUCUCGUACCGGCGACGCAUCUUUCAAAUGUCUGCCUUAUCAACUGUCGAUGGUAGGUUCUGCGCCUACCAUGGUUGUAACGGGUAACGGGGAAUCAGGGUUCGAUUCCGGAGAGGGAGCCUGAGAAACGGCUACCACAUCCAAGGAAGGCAGCAGGCGCGCAAAUUACCCACUCCCGGCACGGGGAGGUAGUGACGAAAAAUAACGGUACAGGACUCAUCCGAGGCCCUGUAAUCGGAAUGAGUACACUUUAAAUCCUUUAACGAGUAUCAAUUGGAGGGCCAGUCUGGUGCCAGCAGCCGCGGUAACUCCAGCUCCAAUAGCGUAUAUUAAAGUUGUUGCGGUUAAAAAGCUCGUAGUUGAAUCUGUGUUCCGCGCUGUCGGUUCUCCGCCCGCGGAGUUUAACUGGCACGCCGCGGAACGUCCUGCCGGUGGUCACGCUCGUUGCCGCUGUCGGCGUGCGCCGUUCGCGCGGCGUUGCGUCGCUCGGCCGCGGCUGACCGACUCACGAUCCUACCGCGGUGCUCUUCACUGAGUGUCGAGGUGGGCCGGCACGUUUACUUUGAACAAAUUAGAGUGCUCAAAGCAGGCCGACAACACGCCUGAAUAUUGUGUGCAUGGAAUAAUGGAACAGGACCUCGGUUCUAUUUUGUUGGUUUUCGGAAUCCCGAGGUAAUGAUUAAUAGGGACAGAUGGGGGCAUUCGUAUUGCGACGUUAGAGGUGAAAUUCUUGGAUCGUCGCAAGACGGACAGAAGCGAAAGCAUUUGCCAAAAAUGUUUUCAUUAAUCAAGAACGAAAGUCAGAGGUUCGAAGGCGAUCAGAUACCGCCCUAGUUCUGACCAUAAACGAUGCCAGCUAGCGAUCCGCUGACGUUCCUCCGAUGACUCGGCGGGCAGCUUCCGGGAAACCAAAGCUUUUGGGUUCCGGGGGAAGUAUGGUUGCAAAGCUGAAACUUAAAGGAAUUGACGGAAGGGCACCACCAGGAGUGGAGCCUGCGGCUUAAUUUGACUCAACACGGGAAACCUCACCAGGCCCAGACACCGUUAGGAUUGACAGAUUGAGAGCUCUUUCUUGAUUCGGUGGGUGGUGGUGCAUGGCCGUUCCUGGUUGGUGGAGCGAUUUGUCUGGUUAAUUCCGAUAACGAACGAGACUCUAGCCUGCUAAAUAGACGUUACUUUCCGGCAUCCUGAAGGCUCGCGCCGUCCGUCAGCCGGACCCGGCGUUCGUCGGCGGUUCGCCGUCCGUCGGCGUCGGUGUUCCGGUCGGUCGGUUGCGGUUUUUACUGCCGGCGUUCAAAUAUAUCUUCUUAGAGGGACAGGCGGCUCUCAGCCGCAUGAGAUUGAGCAAUAACAGGUCUGUGAUGCCCUUAGAUGUUCUGGGCCGCACGCGCGCUACACUGAAGGAAUCAGCGUGUCUUCCCUGGCCGAGCGGUCCGGGUAACCCGCUGAACCUCCUUCGUGCUAGGGAUUGGGGCUUGCAAUUGUUCCCCAUGAACGAGGAAUUCCCAGUAAGCGCGAGUCAUAAACUUGCGUUGAUUACGUCCCUGCCCUUUGUACACACCGCCCGUCGCUACUACCGAUUGAAUGAUUUAGUGAGGUCUUCGGACCGGUACGCGGUGGCGUUUCGCGCGUCGCCGAUGUC